Molecule: long non-coding RNA, 611 nt
Filed under: Ananas comosus (pineapple)
Lineage: Eukaryota; Viridiplantae; Streptophyta; Magnoliopsida; Poales; Bromeliaceae
Description: long non-coding RNA (ACOM_LNC016056)
Source: RNAcentral
UUUAUUAUAAUUUUAAAUAUAUUUAAUGUAUAUAUAAAAAUUAUAAUAAUAAUAUAUAUAUUAUAUUAAUUAUUAUAUAUUUAUUAUAUAGCUGAAUUUUUUAUCCCGAAUUUUUAAUUGGUGAACAUAUAAUAUCCACAUAAAUCAUGUAUCCGAAUAAUUGUCGAAUCCGUUUUUUAGCUAUAUUUUUCAACGAAUUUAAAAAUUUAAAGAAGAAUUUUAUCCGAAUUAUAUCCAUACCGAAUUUUUGCCGAAUCCGAAUUAACUAACUAUGAUCUACCCAACCCGAGCCUGAUUUGAUUUUAUAUUAUAUAAUAUGUAUUAAUGUUUGAUUUGUAUCUUAAAAAUUUAGGUUUAAAUAUAAUAUGUUUUGAAAUAUAGAAAAGAGUAAUAAUUGUUUAUAAGUUUUCGGGUUCGGAUUUCGAAUUUUUGGUUGGAUUCAGGUUUGAGUAUAGAUUUUAAAAUCUAUUGAAUUCAGGUUUGGGUUAGAAAUUCAGGUUUGGUAGUUGGGUUCAGAUUUGAAUUUUUGAUAACCCGUCUCGAAUCUGACCCAUUGACAUAUAUUCUUACCCACCGUUCAGCCAUGCAUCCAUCUGCUCUAUCUUGUUUUC